This is a long non-coding RNA of Aethalodelphis obliquidens (Pacific white-sided dolphin), 693 nucleotides long. RefSeq lists it as uncharacterized. The transcript has 2 exons. Lineage: Eukaryota; Metazoa; Chordata; Mammalia; Artiodactyla; Delphinidae. The record is from RefSeq and is a predicted model, not a curated record.
ACUUCUACUAUUUUACAUAUGGCUAUUAGGAAAACACCUCACGCACUGAGAUACAUAACAAGUCAACUCAAAAGUUUAAGAAAAAACGGCAACUUGAUUAUAAGGAUAUAGAGGCAUCACAAGAGUAUCACACGUAUAAUAAAUAUGAUGUGGCAAUCUCUAGCUGUUCACCAAACCCAUUUUCUCUUCCUUUUGGGUCCACAGGUGGAUAACAUUGUUCAGCUUCCCAUACACUUAAAUGUGGCCGUGUGACUGAGUUCCAGACAAAGCAAUGUGAAUGACAGGUGCUAGUUCAAGGCCUGGCCUAUACAACGUCCCAUGUAUUGAACUCCACGUUCAUUUCCUUUCUGCAGGCUGGAUGCUAACACCUACAGAGACAUUGGAAGUCAUGUGUUGAAAAUGGCAGAGCUUCCAUCAACCCGAGUUCCUGAGUAACUGUGUGGCACAGAGCCGUCCACUGCCACCACCUCACCAACUUAGAACCAUCUGGACCUGUUUAUGGGCAGCCAAACAUUAACAGCGUCAAGCCUCCUCCAAGUCACAGGUGACAAAGAAAGGAAAGACUUCUCUUCAAAAGGCCAUGUAAACAGGCUUGUGUGGAUAAUCCAUUGACAGAAAACACUAAGGAGCAGAAAGACUUCCCGACUCAGGCUCUAAAAAUACAAACUACACAGUAAAAACUGUUGGAUUUGA